GUAAUACUCGUAAGAUUUAUCAACACAAGCAAAAAAGAUGGCCCAAAAGCUAGAAGCAAAGGGUGGUGAGAUGGGAGAUGUAUGGGAUGAUGGUGUUUACGAAAAUGUUAGAAAGGUAUAUGUAGGGCAAGCACAAUACGGUAUAGCCUUCGUCAAGUUUGAGUAUGUCAAUGGUUCUCAAGUGGUUGUUGGAGAUGAACAUGGAAAGAAGACAGAGCUAGGAGUUGAAGAGGUACUAAAAUAGAUUUUUUUUUUUUUUUUUUUUUUUUUUUUUUUUUAGUCAAAAGGUACUAAAAUAGAUUUAUAUGUUGUGAUUGAUCAAGAGGUAGGGUCUUUUUUUUUUUUGUUGCUUUCCGCAUUGAAAAUUGCUUGGUUUCUUUGCAGUUUGAGAUUGAUGCGGAUGACUACAUCGUAUACGUGGAAGGUUACCGUGAGAAAGUUAACGAUAUGACGUCAGAAAUGAUCACGUUUCUUUCUAUUAAGACUUUUAAAGGCAAAACCUCUCAUCCUAUCGAAAAAAGACCUGGGGUUAAGUUUGUGCUACAUGGUGGAAAAAUCGUUGGGUUUCACGGACGUUCAACAGAUGUUUUACACUCCCUUGGGGCCUAUGUUUCUUUGUCAUCCACUAUCAAAUUGCUUGGGAAGUGGAUUAAGGUAAUAAUCUCUUAGACCAAUCCAAAAACAAAAAUAAAAAAUUAUCUCACAUAAAUAUGUUGUUAUUGUUACCACCGCAAAAUCACUAAAUCACUUACGAGAAAGAAAAAAUGAAGAAGAAAAGAGGGUUGAAUUUGGAAUUCAGAUAAUGACACUUUUAAAAUUUAUAAUUUUAUUAAAUUUAUCUUAUGGGAGUUCAUUAAUCAGAUAAAUAAUUUCUUUAAAAAUAACUAAAAAAUAUUACUCAUAGGUGGAGCAAAAAGGAGAAGGUCCAGGGCUAAGAUGCUCACAUGGCAUAGCACAAGUAGGCAACAAGAUUUACUCCUUUGGUGGCGAGUUCACACCAAAUCAGCCCAUCGACAAACACCUUUACGUCUUUGACCUCGAGACCCGGACUUGGUCCAUUUCUCCAGCCACCGGAGACGUUCCACACCUCUCUUGUUUAGGUGUCCGGAUGGUGUCAGUAGGAUCGACCCUCUAUGUCUUUGGAGGCCGAGACGCUUCACGCCAAUACAACGGUUUCUACUCGUUUGACACGACCACUAACGAGUGGAAACUGCUAACUCCGGUCGAAGAAGGACCCACUCCUCGUAGUUUCCACUCAAUGGCAGCCGAUGAGGAAAACGUUUACGUUUUCGGUGGAGUGAGUGCUACGGCACGACUCAAUACACUAGACUCUUACAACAUCGUUGAUAAGAAGUGGUUUCAUUGUUCGACUCCAGGAGAUUCCCUUACCGCAAGAGGAGGAGCAGGGCUCGAAGUGGUGCAAGGGAAGGUAUGGGUUGUGUAUGGGUUUAACGGAUGUGAAGUAGAUGAUGUUCAUUACUACGAUCCUGUUCAAGACAAGUGGACACAAGUGGAAACAUUCGGUGUGAGGCCUUCCGAAAGAAGUGUAUUCGCUAGUGCGGCUAUUGGGAAACACAUUGUGAUUUUUGGAGGUGAAAUUGCGAUGGACCCGCUAGCUCACGUGGGUCCAGGUCAAUUGACCGAUGGAACUUUUGCAUUGGACACAGAGACGUUGCAAUGGGAGAGGCUGGAUAAGUUUGGUGGAGAGGAAGAGACUCCGAGUAGCAGAGGAUGGACCGCGUCCACGACUGCUACCAUUGAUGGUAAGAAAGGACUUGUGAUGCAUGGUGGUAAAGCUCCAACCAAUGACCGGUUUGAUGAUCUCUUCUUUUACGGGAUUGACUCUGCCUAAUUAAGGCAGAUUUGGUGAUCAUGAACGUUUGUGAAUGUGUGUGUGUGUGUGUGGGUCUGUGUUUGUGUGUGUAAUAAGGGAGGGGUAUACCACCAUAUGAUCCUUCCCCAGCUUGACCAUUGUUUUUUUUUUAAUAUGUUUUUCUUUCUACAUGUUUGUUUCACGUUUCAUGUUGUAUCCAAUAAAUUGUGUACUUUCCUAGUAGUAAUCGCCAGAAAAAAAAAAAAAAAAAAAAAACCUAGUAGGUAGAGUCAUAGCUUACAAUUAAAUAAAUAACGAUGGAUGUGUUGAAAACGCGUUUAUGCAUGAUUCAUGAAUUGUAUAUACGAGAGCAGCCGAGGAGGAGAUAAAGAGAGGGGUCUACAAUGAUCAAUACUAACUUAAUUUUGUAGUGUUGUCAGUCAAUAAUGUAUACCUAUCAAAAUGGGGCCUAUAUUCCAUCACUAGUGAGUUCGUCAGUCAAUAAUGUAUUUUCCGACACUUAAAAAACGUUCCAAAUCAUAAUACUUAUAAUUAUAACCAGAUAAGUUUUACUGAAUCCCAGACUAAUUCUCAAACUUUGCUAUCAUGUUAUUAACAAACAUUACAAUGUAGAGAAAUAUGGAUGCCCUAGUUUCAACUAACACGAUGAAUCAUGUCAAUCACUGUAUAAAUAGUUAAUAAGUUGUGACUUUUUUUUUUGUCGGCUAAUAAGUUGUGACUUUAGGCACCGUCAAUAUUCAACUGUAAUUAUAAUCGUAUAUAAUAAGUGAUUAUAUCUGUCAAAUAUCAUAUAUAACAAAUAAUAUAAUUGUAUGUAUAUAUAUUAUCUCUAUCAACUAUAAUCAUAUACAGAAAGAAAAAAAACAAGUGUUACAUCACGCUUAGCUUAAAAGUUUCGACUUUUUGCACCGUCAUAUUUCACGUGUAAGCAAGAAAUACAAAUGUAAAUAGAUUAUAAUUAAUGAAUUCUCUCGACUCUCUCAACAUAGUAUAUAAAAGGAAAUCUACACAUGAACCGUAUCUUUCUCACUUUUGAAAUAUUUUGAUGUUUUAAAGAAAUUUUUUCAAAAUUUUAUAUAAAUUAUAAAUUAAUUUAAUAUUUUUUGAUUAUUUAUAUUUUUCAUCAGUCUUGUUCAUAAUUGGUUGAAUUGUUUUAAAGUAAAUAUUUCUUUAGCUAAAACAUCUUAUACAAUUAAAAGAAAAAAGUGUAAUCAAAUAACCAAAUAUAAAUUAGUAUUUCAAAUUAUACUUAUUGCAGGGUGAUAAACCUUUUGUCCCAAGUGAAGUUAAACCUAUAAAUAUAUACCCCAUUUAGAGGGUCCUAUAUAACUAAAGUACCACAUAUUUGGUGGUUUAUAUCAUUCAAUUUUUUUGUAACUAACUUAAUAUUUGAUAUGUAAAAUCAUGUUAAAAUAGGAUCAGCAGAUAGAAUAUAUAAAAAAUAAGUCAUGUACAAACGUAACGUUCUUCAUAUCUUAGGUAACGUAUCUAACAAUUUUGUUAAAUAUUAUUAUUUUAAAAAAUUGAACAUAUUAUUUGGAAACUUUUCUUUUGAUAAUUUUGAAAUGGCACUUUGUAAUUAAGAGUUUAAUAAAGAACACGUCACACACAAAAACGAAGAAAGAGAUUAUAGAAAUUAAGUUGUGUUUUCAAUCUUCGUGUAUACAAAACAAAAAUAAAAAUUAGAAAUGAUAUUUCAUACGAUGUUGUUAAAUAAUAUAAUUAUGAAAAUUAGUUGUGCUUUAUAUUAUUAUUUUUGUUGGAAGCUCUAGAAACGAUCGACCUAAUAGUAUAUUUUUGUCACUAAAAAGUGUGAUUAAAAUAUAUAUAUAUAUAUAUAUAUAUAUAUAUAUAUAUAUAAUAUUGUAAUUUUCAACCAAUUCUCGGUUUAGGUGGUUUAUUAUUAUAUUGUUUUUUGAAAAAAUUAAAAAAUAUAUCCUUAUUAGUUCAUUCUUUUCUGGUCAUUCGUUCACACUUUACAACUUGGUUAAUGGCCACUUCUCAAGUUAUCGUUCUUUCAUUUGUUCUACAGUCGCAAGAAAUUAUCGUUCUUUCAUUUGUCAUUAUGCAUAAUGAUUUCUCUUUUCUUUUUAGUGCAUAAUGAUCUCACUACAUAAAAAAAUCUAUCUUACGAUUCAACUAUAUUUAGUCCCAUGCACUCGCUGCAUAACACAUUACUUUCUUCGAUUUAGAGUGAUUUUCACAACCUUGUUUCUGUAUUGUAUAUUUAGUUAGUGUUUGUGAUUACCAAAAAAAAAAAUUGUUUCUUCUUGGCUUAGUCUUUUUAUCUUUUUUUUUUUUUUUGCUUCAUCUAUUUUUCCUCCCAUGACAGAUGAAGACGGCAAGAGAUGCAGCAAAUCUCAUUUAUGAUCUAUCUGAAGAAUCAGCGUCAUCGAUUUGGAGACUCGAACCAUAACAAAAAGAGCAUCACAGUUUCAAUUUAAUUGCUCCUGGCGCUUCCUAUUUCAGCAACAAACAUUAAAUAAUUAAUCCAAUAGAGAUGAUAUAUAUGGAAAUUUCAAAACCAAAAAAAGAAACUUUCAAAACCAAAAUUGCGAAGCCAUAGAAAUCGUGGAUCAUGGAAUUGCGAAGACCAAUGUUGACAUAUGGGAAUUUGGUGUCCCAAUGAGCAGAGAUCACUAAGAUUGGUUUUCGGGAGGAACUUUUUGAGUUCAUGAUUUGAAGAAUUGUCUCGCCUAUAAGCUAUCGUCCAUAGUUUGAGAUUCAUGCGACAAGAAGAAGGUUUGAUUCACUUUCUCCAUUUAAUUGAAUCAUCUUCAUAGAUAUAUUUUCAUACUUAAUCAAUGUUUUUACCAAAAAAAUAAUGUUAUUUUAUUAUUUUGGUUUUAUGUGGUUUGGGAUUGGUGUAGAUUAUAAACCGAUUAAACCAAUGUUUUUGUGUUCUGAGAUUUCAAACUUUUGAACUAAAUAAAUAUACGUUUUGGGGAAUAUCCAAUAUCAAUAUGUAUCAUAGUUUGGACUCUAUCUAUUCCAGUAUGAUAAUUCCCGUGGAAAAAUAUAUCAUCGUCUCUAUUUUAUACAUGCACUUGCAACACAAACCAGCCAUAAAGUGGGUCUAUUCUUAUAAUUUAUGACAACAUGGAACACUAUCAUUGGGCCACGAUGCAAGGAGCGAAGGACGAUGCGAGAAGGUGCUUUACUGAUUUGAUGAACGUGGAGGUGAUUCUGAAUGAUACGAGAUCUCUAAGCUGAAUAUAUAAUAGUAUAGUUUUUCGUAAUUUUUUUUUGUUAAAUUUUUUAUCGCUGCUAAAGAUUAAAUGGCGAGUAAAACUAUACUAUUAUACUUUCAAAGAUCACCCGAGAAAAUGAUGACUGCACAUACUUUCAAUAUCCCAUAGAUGACAUAUCUGUUUUAUUUCCAUCAAGCUAUUCAUCGAAACAAAAGCACAUGACGAUUAUGGGAGAGAAACACUACUCUAAAAUCCCGUAAUAAGCUGCACCACCUAAUUUUUUGUGCCUUGACCAAAAAAAAUUCAAUGUUGCAGUUCAACGAACCUUCUUACGGAGGAUCUUUAAACAAAAUUUAUUUGGUACAUAGAGAAAAAUAUUUUAAUAUAUACUAAUUUAAUGCCUCGCGAUCAACGAGUAGAGAAAAAAUAUGUCGCGUGUAUCUUCUUCCAUUGGUCAAUAAAUACCAAUGCAAUGUUUACUACACAAAUCAUUACUUCAGUCUCACUCUCAGGUCAGCUCUCUCCACAUCUCUCUCAUAUGAUUGUACUAUGUAUAAGAUUUGGUAAUAUUUGUAAUUACAAGUAAAAUUCGUAAAUACAGAUAAUAUUCGUAAGAGGUUGAUCAAACGAAAGCAAAAGAGAUGGCCCAAAAGGUUGAAGCACAAGGAGGAAAUGGCGGUAACCAAUGGGAUGAUGGAUCCGAAUACGACGCUGUGACCAAGAUUCAAGUCGCAGCAGGCGGGAACGGAAUUGAAUAUGUUAAGUUCACAUACGUCAAGAACGGACAAACCGAAGAAGCCCCUCUACGCGGUGUCAAGGGCCGUAGUUUCGAAGCAGAUCCGGUUCCUAUACACUAUCCUUGCCUAUCUCUUCAUUUUUAUCUAUAAGGACAUUGACGUGAAUUAAUAUAUAUAUAUAUAUAGGUUAUAUAUUGUCAAGGGUUUGUUUUGAUAAUGUUCUUUUUAAGAAAUUGACAUUUUGAUCUUGAUCUCUACAGUUUGUGAUAAACCAUCCGGAGGAGCACUUAGUUUCUGUAGAAGGUCGGUAUAACCCUGAAGGACUUAUUCUAGGGCUAACGUUCAAAUCCAACAAGAAGACUUCUGAUCUCAUUGGAUAUGAAGAUGGUACACCGUUCACUCUCCAAGUUCAAGACAAGAAGAUCGUUGGAUUUUAUGGCUUCGCUGGAAACAAUCUCCAUUCUCUUGGAGCGUACUUUGCUCCGUUGACUAAUGUAACCCCCUUGAAUGCCAAAAAGCUAGAAGCAAAGGGUGGUGACACGGGAGAUAUAUGGGAUGAUGGUGUUUACGAUAAUGUUAGAAAGGUAUAUGUAGGGCAAGCCCAAUAUGGUAUAGCCUUCGUCAAGUUUGAGUAUGUCAAUGGUUCUCAAGUGGUUGUUGGAGAUGAACAUGGAAAGAAGACAGAGCUAGGAGUUGAAGAG
RNAcentral lists this long non-coding RNA (6463 nucleotides) under Arabidopsis thaliana (thale cress). RNAcentral's name for it is "long non-coding RNA (ATHA_LNC000099)". The record is from RNAcentral. Lineage: Eukaryota; Viridiplantae; Streptophyta; Magnoliopsida; Brassicales; Brassicaceae.